GACGAACGCUGGCGGCGUACUUAACACAUGCAAGUCGAACGAUGAAGCCCAGCUUGCUGGGUGGAUUAGUGGCGAACGGGUGAGUAACACGUGAGUAACCUGCCCUUAACUCUGGGAUAAGCCUGGGAAACUGGGUCUAAUACCGGAUAGGAGCGUCCACCGCAUGGUGGGUGUUGGAAAGAUUUAUCGGUUUUGGAUGGACUCGCGGCCUAUCAGCUUGUUGGUGAGGUAAUGGCUCACCAAGGCGACGACGGGUAGCCGGCCUGAGAGGGUGACCGGCCACACUGGGACUGAGACACGGCCCAGACUCCUACGGGAGGCAGCAGUGGGGAAUAUUGCACAAUGGGCGCAAGCCUGAUGCAGCGACGCCGCGUGAGGGAUGACGGCCUUCGGGUUGUAAACCUCUUUCAGUAGGGAAGAAGCGAAAGUGACGGUACCUGCAGAAGAAGCACCGGCUAACUACGUG
This 466-nucleotide ribosomal RNA is filed under the name uncultured bacterium. Its description in RNAcentral is "partial 16S ribosomal RNA". It matches the Rfam family "Bacterial small subunit ribosomal RNA", at positions 28 to 507 of the family's 1533-position model. The record is from RNAcentral.